UUCUAUGGCCACAGAACACUGACUGCACCAUAUCUCAUCUGUUCUUGGAAGCUAAGCAGGGUCAGUCCUGGUUAGUACUUGGAUGGGAGUUCCAAAUUUCAGUCCACUGGGUAACUCCAUGCCUUCAAAGCAG
Molecule: ribosomal RNA, 133 nt
Organism: Cavia porcellus (domestic guinea pig)
Lineage: Eukaryota; Metazoa; Chordata; Mammalia; Rodentia; Caviidae
Source: Ensembl